Molecule: long non-coding RNA, 1052 nt
Filed under: Homo sapiens (human)
Lineage: Eukaryota; Metazoa; Chordata; Mammalia; Primates; Hominidae
Description: HSALNT0133690
Source: RNAcentral
AGGCUAUCUGAGGCCCCUUCAAGUAGUAAAAUGUUCUCAUUCUCUAACCCACAAUAGUAACACAAUUCUUCUUUGGUUACAACUUCUCCAAAUCAGCAAGGAAGGUAGAAGGGAGUAAAGAAAAAUAUGGGUUUUUCAGUUUCCUUAAAAUUUCUUAGGAUCAUUAAACCUGCCCUACCUUUUAACCUUGAAUAGAGACAUACAUCACAAAAUAAAGCUUCCUCCACCUGUAACCACUUAUUAUCAUAUGCCAACCUCAAAUAACACAAAAUGGGGGAGUCCUGCCAAGCUUGUCUGUCCAAGCCACUGGCAGUGCUCAGCACAUGGUAGGAUGACCACCAAUCAGGAAUUGUACAGUAGGAGUGCCCAGACUCGGGGAGAGGCAAGCUGGCGCGUCUCCAAGGUGCUUGUCACUCACCACUAGAACGUGGUCCUUUACCACUAGACAAGAUCUCCUGGUUUGACAAUGCAGGUGACACAGCUGAAACUUUAUCUCAACACGGCCUGAAGAAUACCACUGUCUAAAUAUGAGAUGCUAAAAUACUAUGACCUACUCUAAUAUUCUCUCCCAACUCUGUCCAUCCUCGUGACUGGCACCCAUGCUGGCCCAAAUGAUGACAACCUCCUGUUCUAAGUGCACAAGCCGCACAUUUAAUAAACCUUUCACCCAGUUCCUUCACUGGUGUUCAUCUCUCGGCUUCACUUACAACCACUCCCUGUGGCUUUUGCAGUGAAGCCUCUUAGCCCAAAACUCUUCCACUCCCCAAACCAUGUUUGGUCUGUAAUAUAAACAACUUCCACUCACCCUAGAAAACUGAGUGGGAAUUUCAGUGCAAUUAUCUGCAUACCUUUCCUACAGCGUUUUAUCACAAUUUGCAGUCCUCAGAGACGAAGGUGAAAGGGGAGGACUAAGGUGGCACCCUCCACUGAGGAGCACCGCCUCACGGGGACACUGCUUUCAGGAAUGCCUCCUCGCCAGUACUCUUCCACUGAGAGACACUCUGAUCUCAGAGAUACAAGAAGUCUAGAUGUGGACUAACCAGGCAACCAGU